AACUUUGACUUUGUUUGACUUCCGGCCUGUCGAGAUGAGUCGCUUAUUCAGGGAGGGAUGAGAUGUUUCUUAAUAUGGAUCAAAGUUGUUAAAAUUAGUCAAUUACAUUUACAAAAUGCAAACGCUACAGCAAGGCGUUUGUGAGAAAAAUGGAUGAAGAAAUUAUAACAUCUUUUUCCACAUUGCAUUACAACUACAAAGCUGACGCUGGAUUGCUAAAUUAGUUUAUUUUCAUUGAAAUAGAAUGGCUGGUUAGCUAUCUAGCAAUAGUCUUCUGUCUAGACUCUAGCCUGUAACUAAUGGUUGUUACGUUGUAGAACAGAACAAUAGUCAUUUGUACUUGUCAUUUGUUUGAGACUAACAUUAGUUAGAAAAUAAUUGUUUACUUUGUGUAUAUUUGUUGUAUAAUUGGUUGGCUUUGCCAGUUAGCAAGCUGAGAUUGAUUUGCUCAAAUUGGCUAACUUAGCUAUUAGCUAAUGUUUUAAGAGAAACAGGCUAGCUCCUUGCAGAAUCUAGAGUAGAGAAUGUGGAAUAAGAUGUGUCUGUUGCAGUGCCCAGACGAGGUGAGAGCAAACUGCUACAGAGAUAAAGAGGAAUCUCCAAAUGCCAUGUUGAACGAGCACCAGGGAUGAAGGAGGGGGAGGAAAACAGACUGCUUCUUUCUCCCACACCUUCACCAAGUCAUACAAUGUUUGCUUCAUGAAUAAUUGUUACAUCUGAAAUAAAUACAUUGUUAUUUUAGUAUAUUCUGUUUCUAAUGUUUUUUUUAAUGCUGGAUGUGAGUAAUUUAGCAGGUCUAAAGUAUAAUGUAUUGUUUUGGAACAUUUAAGUAUCUAUUCAGUCAAAACUCACUUGUUAUUUUAUGUUUGCUAAAAUGUUUUGUACUGAAAAUUAAUAAGCUAUUUUCCAAAAAUUG
Molecule: long non-coding RNA, 916 nt
Organism: Salvelinus fontinalis (brook trout)
Lineage: Eukaryota; Metazoa; Chordata; Actinopteri; Salmoniformes; Salmonidae
Exons: 2
Source: RefSeq, a predicted model, not a curated record